RNAcentral lists this ribosomal RNA (450 nucleotides) under uncultured bacterium. RNAcentral's name for it is "partial 16S ribosomal RNA". It matches the Rfam family "Bacterial small subunit ribosomal RNA", at positions 354 to 796 of the family's 1533-position model. The record is from RNAcentral.
GUGGGGAAUCUUCCGCAAUGGACGAAAGUCUGACGGAGCAACGCCGCGUGAGUGAAGAAGGUUUUCGGAUCGUAAAGCUCUUUCGUUAGGGACGAACGUGCUCUUUGUGAAUAAUGAGGAGUAAUGACGGUACCUAAAUAAGAAGCCACGGCUAACUACGUGCCAGCAGCCGCGGUAAUACGUAGGUGGCAAGCGUUGUCCGGAAUUAUUGGGCGUAAAGCGCGCGCAGGCGGGAUAUCAAGUCUGUCUUAAAAGUGCGAGGCUCAACCUCGUGAGGGGACAGAAACUGGUAUUCUUGAGUGUCGGAGGGGAAAGUGGAAUUCCAAGUGUAGCGGUGAAAUGCGUAGAGAUUUGGAAGAACACCAGUGGCGAAGGCGACUUUCUGGACGAUGUCUGACGCUGAGGCGCGAAAGCUAGGGGAGCGAACGGGAUUAGAUACCCCAGUAGUCC